RNAcentral lists this ribosomal RNA (441 nucleotides) under uncultured bacterium. RNAcentral's name for it is "bacterial SSU rRNA". It matches the Rfam family "Bacterial small subunit ribosomal RNA", at positions 340 to 773 of the family's 1533-position model. The record is from RNAcentral.
UACGGGAGGCAGCAGUGGGGAAUAUUGCACAAUGGGCGCAAGCCUGAUGCAGCCAUGCCGCGUGUAUGAAGAAGGCCUUCGGGUUGUAAAGUACUUUCAGUCGUGAGGAAGGUGUUAAGGUUAAUAACCUUAGCAAUUGACGUUAGCGACAGAAGAAGCACCGGCUAACUCCGUGCCAGCAGCCGCGGUAAUACGGAGGGUGCGAGCGUUAAUCGGAAUUACUGGGCGUAAAAGGCACGCAGGCGGUUAAUUAAGUUGGAUGUGAAAUCCCCGGGCUUAACCUGGGAAUGGCAUUCAAGACUGGUUAGCUAGAGUCUUGUAGAGGGGGUAGAAUUCCAUGUGUAGCGGUGAAAUGCGUAGAGAUGUGGAGGAAUACCGGUGGCGAAGGCGGCCCCUGGGACAAAGGACUGACGCUCAUGUGCGAAAGCGUGGGGAGCAAAC